RNAcentral lists this ribosomal RNA (540 nucleotides) under uncultured bacterium. RNAcentral describes it as "bacterial SSU rRNA". It matches the Rfam family "Bacterial small subunit ribosomal RNA", at positions 356 to 896 of the family's 1533-position model. The record is from RNAcentral.
GAGGAAUAUUGGUCAAUGGGCGGAAGCCUGAACCAGCCAAGUAGCGUGCAGGAUGACGGCCCUAUGGGUUGUAAACUGCUUUUACAGGGGAAUAAAAAGGAGCACGUGUGCUCUGUUGCAUGUACCCUGCGAAUAAGGACCGGCUAAUUCCGUGCCAGCAGCCGCGGUAAUACGGAAGGUCCUGGUGUUAUCCGGAUUUAUUGGGUUUAAAGGGAGCGUAGGCCGUAGAUUAAGUGUGUUGUGAAAUGUAGGCGCCCAACGUCUGCCUUGCAGCGCAAACUGGUUUACUUGAGUACGCGCAACGCAGGCGGAAUUCGUCGUGUAGCGGUGAAAUGCUUAGAUAUGACGAAGAACUCCUAUUGCGAAGGCAGCUUGCGGGAGCGUUACUGACGCUGAAGCUCGAAAGUGCGGGUAUCGAACAGGAUUAGAUACCCUGGUAGUCCGCACGGUAAACGAUGGAUGCCCGUUUUUGGCUUAUUUUAGCCAGAGACCAAGCGAAAGCAUUAAGCAUCCCACCUGGGGAGUACGCCGGCAACGGUG